AUGGCCAACGUAGUCCUCAACUUCAACGCGUUCCUAGAGAAAACCAAGCUGAAAGACGAUGGCAGCAACUAUACGGACUGGGUCCGGAACCUGAGGAUCAUCCUCAUAGCUGCCAAGAAAGAUUAUGUCCUACAAGCACCGCUGGGUGACGCACCUGUUCUCCCUGCAGAACAAGACGUUAUGAACGCUUGGCAGGCACGUACCGAUGACUACUCCCUCGUUCAGUGCGGCAUGCUUUACAGCCUAGAGCCGGGGCUCCAAAAGCGUUUUGAGAGACAUGGAGCAUAUGAGAUGUUCGAAGAGCUGAAAAUGGUUUUCCAAGCUCAUGCCCGGGUCGAGAGAUAUGAAGUCUCCGACAAAUUCUUCAGCUGUAAGAUGGAGGAAAAUAGUUCUGUCAGUGAGCACAUACUCACUAUGUCUGGGUUACAUAACCGCUUGACUCAGCUGGGAGUUAAUCUCCCGGAUGAUGCGGUCAUUGACAGAAUCCUCCAGUCGCUUCCACCGAGCUACAAGAGCUUUGUGAUGAACUUCAAUAUGAAGGGGAUGGAAAAGACCAUUCCUGAAGUAUUUGCUAUGCUGAAAUCAGCAGAGGUAGAAGUCAAGAAGGAACAUCAAGUGUUGAUGGUCAAUAAAACCACUAAGUUCAAGAAGGGCAAAGGUAAAAAGAACUUUAAGAAGGACGACAAGGGAGUUGCCGCGCCCGGCAAGCAAGCUGCCGGGAAGAAGCCAAAGAAUGGACCCAAGCCCGAGACUGAGUGCUUUUAUUGCAAGGGAAGUGGUCACUGGAAGCGGAACUGCCCCAAAUACUUAGCGGACAAGAAGGCCGGCAAAACAAAAGGUAUAUAUGAUAUACAUGUAAUUGAUGUGUACCUUACUAGUACCCGUAGUAGCUCCUGGGUAUUUGAUACCGGUGCAGUUGCUCACAUUUGUAACUCAAAGCAGGGGUUGCGGAAUAAGCGGAGACUGGCAAAGGACGAGGUGACGAUGCGCGUCGGGAAUGGUUCCAAGGUCAAUGUGAUCGCCGUCGGCACGCUACCUCUACAUUUACCUUCGGGAUUAGUUUUAAACCUUAAUAAUUGUUAUUUAGUGCCAGCUUUGAGCAUGAACAUUGUAUCGGGAUCUCGUUUAAUUCGAGAUGGCUACUCAUUUAAAUCCGAGAAUAAUGGUUGUUCUAUUUAUAUGAGAGAUAUGUUUUAUGGUCAUGCUCCUAUGGUGAAUGAUUUAUUCUUAAUGAAUCUCGAGCGUAAUGCUACACAUAUUCAUAGUGUGAGUACCAAAAGAUGUAAGGUUGAUAAUGAUAGUCCCACAUACUUGUGGCACUGCCGCCUUGGUCACAUAGGUGUCAAACGCAUGAAGAAGCUCCAUGCAGAUGGACUUUUAGAGUCUCUUGAUUAUGAAUCAUUUGACACGUGCGAACCAUGCCUCAUGGGUAAAAUGACCAAGACUCCGUUCUCAGGAACAAUGGAGUGA
Molecule: ribosomal RNA, 1470 nt
Filed under: Triticum aestivum (bread wheat)
Lineage: Eukaryota; Viridiplantae; Streptophyta; Magnoliopsida; Poales; Poaceae
Description: partial small subunit ribosomal RNA
Source: RNAcentral